This is a long non-coding RNA of Medicago truncatula (barrel medic), 466 nucleotides long. RefSeq lists it as uncharacterized. The transcript has 2 exons. The record is from RefSeq and is a predicted model, not a curated record. NCBI's taxonomy places the organism in Eukaryota, Viridiplantae, Streptophyta, Magnoliopsida, Fabales, Fabaceae.
UUCUAUUCUCGUGCUUUUUGUGUUGGAAAAACUCUUCCCACCUUAUUAUCCAAUUUAAUCUCUUUCACUAUAAAUAAGUAGUACACCUUGUCGAAAAUAAGUAGUACACAUUGCUCUAAAUUUCCGCUCUACUUUUUCUGAGCCUGCAUUCCAAGAUUAAAUGGAAACUGUUUUGAAGGCAAUCAUUCUGUUUUUAGUUGUUUUUAUGGGUGGCUUAAUUGGCAAUGCACAGCGUUUCCACUGUUGUGAAAAAGGGGAGUUUUGUGAUCUACCUCCGUGUUGUCGUGGUCGUGAAAAAAGAGGUUGUGCCCACCCCCCGUGUUGUGAGUGGAACAAGAAAAUGAAGCCAUAAAACUAGGCUUCUCCUUUACACCGAUUAAUUUAAUAAAAUUGUAACCAAAAACAACAAAUAUUGUAACAAAAAAAUAUAUUUAAUAAGAUUGGUGUUUGUGGCACAUUGACUUGA